GACGAACGCUGGCGGCGUGCUUAAUACAUGCAAGUCGAACGGAAAGGCCCUGCUUUUGUGGGGUGCUCGAGUGGCGAACGGGUGAGUAACACGUGAGUAACCUGCCCUUGACUUUGGGAUAACUUCAGGAAACUGGGGCUAAUACCGGAUAGGAGCUCCUGCUGCAUGGUGGGGGUUGGAAAGUUUCGGCGGUUGGGGAUGGACUCGCGGCUUAUCAGCUUGUUGGUGGGGUAGUGGCUUACCAAGGCUUUGACGGGUAGCCGGCCUGAGAGGGUGACCGGCCACAUUGGGACUGAGAUACGGCCCAGACUCCUACGGGAGGCAGCAGUGGGGAAUAUUGCACAAUGGGCGGAAGCCUGAUGCAGCAACGCCGCGUGCGGGAUGACGGCCUUCGGGCUGUAAACCGCUUUCGCCUGUGACGAAGCGUGAGUGACGGUAAUGGGUAAAGAAGCACCGGCUAACUACGUG
Molecule: ribosomal RNA, 468 nt
Filed under: uncultured bacterium
Lineage: Bacteria
Description: partial 16S ribosomal RNA
Rfam family: Bacterial small subunit ribosomal RNA
Source: RNAcentral